This 2876-nucleotide ribosomal RNA is filed under the name Balneolaceae bacterium. RNAcentral's name for it is "23S ribosomal RNA". It matches the Rfam family "Bacterial large subunit ribosomal RNA". The record is from RNAcentral. Lineage: Bacteria; Pseudomonadati; Balneolota; Balneolia; Balneolales; Balneolaceae.
GUUAAAGUAGGAAAGGGCGUAUGGUGGAUGCCUUGGCAUGUGAUGGCGAUGAAGGACGCGAAAAGCUGCGAAAAGCUACGGGGAGCUGCAAUAAAGCUUCGAUCCGUAGGUCUCCGAAUGGGGCAACCCUUUAAAUCCGCAAGGAUGGCCAACCCGCUGAACUGAAACAUCUAAGUAAGCGGAGGAAAAGAAAACAACAGUGAUUCCGUAAGUAGUGGCGAGCGAACGCGGAACAGCCCAAACCAAGUCGGGUCACCGAUUUGGGGUAGUAGGACUCACGAGCGAGUUUAAUUAGGAAGUCGAAACUGUCUGGAAAGCAGUUCCACAGAAGGUGAAAGACCUGUAGGCGAAUCUUAAUUAAGCCGAUGUGAGUAUCCUGAGUAGCGCGGGACCGGUGAAAUCCUGCGUGAACCAGCCGGCACCAUCCGGUAAGGCUAAAUACAAACACAUGACCGAUAGUGAACUAGUACCGUGAGGGAAAGGUGAAAAGAACGCCGAGACGGCGAGUGAAAUAGUCCCUGAAACCAUACGCUUACAAGCGGUCGGAGCCUCUUCGGAGGUGACGGCGUGCCUUUUGCAUAAUGAGCCUACGAGUUGCACCUACUGUGCUGGUUAAGCCCCUAAGGGGCGGAGCCGAAGCGAAAGCGAGUCUGAAUAGGGCGAAUAGAGUACAGUGGGGCAGACGCGAAACCGAGUGAUCUAUCCAUGGCCAGGGUGAAGUUUCGGUAACACGAGAUGGAGGCCCGAACCCGUUGACGUUGAAAAGUCUUGGGAUGAGCUGUGGAUAGGGGUGAAAGGCCAAUCAAACUCGGAGAUAGCUCGUUCUCCCCGAAAUAUAUUUAGGUAUAGCGUGCACUUAGAACCAGUCGGAGGUAGAGCACUGAUUAGGCUAGGGCCCUUCACCGGGUACCAAACCUUGACAAACUCCGAAUUCCGACUGGGAAUCGUGCGCAGUCAGCGGCAGGGUGAUAACGUCCUGCUGCGAAAGGGAAACAACCCAGACUAUCGAAUAAGGUCCCUAAAUACUAGCUAAGUUGAUAAAAGAAAGUUGGAUUGCCCAGACAACCAGGAGGUUGGCUUAGAAGCAGCCAUUCCUUAAAAGAGUGCGUAAUAGCUCACUGGUCGAGUGAUCCGGCGUCGAUAAUUUGCGGGCAUAAGCUAGUUACCGAAACCAUGGAUUCUAUCACUUGAUAGAGUGGUAGGGGAGCAUACCGACCCCGCCGAAGGCGGCCUGUGAGGGCUGCUGGAGGGGUCGGCAGAGAAACUGUAGGCAUGAGUAACGAUAAGACGGGCGAGAAACCCGUCCACCGAAAACCCAAGGGUUCCUGAUCAACGCUAAUCGGAUCAGGGUUAGUCGAGACCUAAGGUGUAGCCGAAAGGCGAAGCCGAUGGAAAACCGGUUCAAUAUUCCGGUACCGACUCCAACGUCAGGCAAAGGCGUGACGCAGAAGUGACACUUCCGCCUCUCUACGGAAUGGGAGGUUAAAGGAUGUAGGCUGCGGGGCAGGCAAAUCCGCCCCGCGAUCGGCUGAACUCCGACAGUACCGGGAGGCUUCGGCCAAACGGAUAGUGAAGGUAAUCUGGCUGCCAAGAAAAGCGUCGUUGUUUGUUGGAGCUGCUCGUACCCCAAACCAACACAGGUGGGUGAGGAGAGAAUCCUCAGGUGCUCGAGAAAAUCGUGGCUAAGGAACUAGGCAAAUUCGAUCCGUAACUUCGGGAGAAGGAUCCCCUGCCCUGAUUCGUCAGGGCGGGGCGCAGUGAAAAGGUUCAAGCGACUGUUUACCAAAAACACAUGUCUCUGCUAAGCCGCAAGGCGAUGUAUAGGGACUGACACCUGCCCGGUGCCGGAAGGUUAAAGAAGGGAGUUAGCUUCGGCGAAGCUCUUGAUCGAAGCCCCAGUAAACGGCGGCCGUAACUAUAACGGUCCUAAGGUAGCGAAAUUCCUUGUCGGGUAAGUUCCGACCUGCACGAAUGGUGUAACGACUUGAACACUGUCUCGGCCACGAGCUCGGUGAAAUUGUGGUAUCGGUGAUGACGCCGAUUACCCGCAGCGGGACGGAAAGACCCCGUGAACCUUUACUACAACUUUACAUUGGCUUCGGUAAUAACAUGUGUAGGAUAGGCGGGAGACUACGAACUUCUAGCGCCAGCUAGGGGGGAGUCACCCUUGAAAUACCGCCCUUGUUAUUGCUGGUGUCUAACCCUGACGGGGACAGUGUAUGGUGGGUAGUUUGACUGGGGCGGUCGCCUCCUAAAUUGUAACGGAGGCUCCCAAAGGUACCCUCGGUACGGUCGGCAAUCGUACUAAGAGUGUAAAAGCAAAAGGGUGCUUGACUGCGAGACAUACAAGUCGAGCAGGAACGAAAGUUGGGUUUAGUGAUCCGGUGGCACCGCAUGGAAGGGCCAUCGCUCAAAGGAUAAAAGGUACUCCGGGGAUAACAGGCUUAUCUCCCCCAAGAGUUCACAUCGACGGGGAGGUUUGGCACCUCGAUGUCGGCUCAUCGCAUCCUGGGGCUGGAGAAGGUCCCAAGGGUUUGGCUGUUCGCCAAUUAAAGCGGUACGCGAGCUGGGUUCAGAACGUCGUGAGACAGUUCGGUCUCUAUCUGCUGUGGGCGUCGAAACACUGAGGAGGGCUGACCCUAGUACGAGAGGACCGGGUUGGACACACCGCUGGUGUACCUGUUGCGCUGUCAAGUGCAUCGCAGGGUAGCUAAGUGUGGAAGUGAUAAGCCGCUGAACGCAUCUAAGCGCGAAGCAUGCUCCAAGAUAAGUGUUUCCUUAAGAGUCCUGGAAGACUACCAGGUAGAUAGGCGGUAGGUGUACGCAUGGUAACAUGUUUAGCCGAGCCGUACUAAUCACUCUUGUGGCUUUGCUCG